Molecule: ribosomal RNA, 420 nt
Filed under: uncultured bacterium
Lineage: Bacteria
Description: bacterial SSU rRNA
Rfam family: Bacterial small subunit ribosomal RNA
Source: RNAcentral
AACGAACGCUGGCGGCGCGCUUAACACAUGCAAGUCGAACGCAUGCUUGAUCUUCGGGUUGGGCAUGAGUGGCGGACGGGUGAGUAACGCGUGGGAACCUGCCCUGAGGUUCGGGACAACCGUGGGAAACUGCGGCUAAUACCGGAUAUCUCCUCUGGGAGAAAGACUUGUCGCCUUGGGAGGGGCCCGCGUCGGAUUAGCUUGUUGGUGGGGUAACGGCCUACCAAGGCAUCGAUCCGUAGCUGGUCUGAGAGGAUGAUCAGCCACACUGGGACUGAGACACGGCCCAGACUCCUACGGGAGGCAGCAGUGGGGAAUUUUGGACAAUGGGGGCAACCCUGAUCCAGCCAUGCCGCGUGAGUGAAGAAGGCCUGGUUGUAAGCGUCUUCUAGCCGGGAGAAACGACGACUCUCUAAUAUA